AUGGCAGUGUGGCUGCCGGCUUGUGUGGUGGACUGUGGCACCGGAUAUACAAAACUAGGACAUGCUGGGACUACAGAACCAAAGUUUAUCAUCCCAUCCUGUAUUGCGAUUAAAGAGUCAGGAAGAGUAGGUGAUCAAGCCCAGAGGAGGGUGAUGAAAGGUGUGGAUGAUCUAGACUUCUUCAUUGGUGAUGAAGCAAUAGAAAAACCUACAUAUUCGACAAAGUGGCCAAUCCGCCAUGGUAUAGUUGAAGACUGGGAUUUAAUGGAAAGAUUUAUGGAGCAAGUACUUUUAAAAUAUUUAAGGGCAGAACCCAAAGACCGUUAUUUUCUUUUGACUGGACCCCCACCGAAUACUCCAGAAAACAGGGACUAUACUGCUGAAAUAAUGUUUGAGUCCUUCAGUGUUCCAGGCCUGUACACUGCUGUGCAGGCUGUUCUUGCCUUAGCUGCACCCCGGGCCUCAAGACAAGUAGGAGAGUAGACACUGACCCGGAUGGUAAUAGACAGUGGUGAUGGAGUCACUCAUGUCAUUCCUGUGGCUGAAGGGUAUGUAAUCGGCAGGUGUAUUAAACACAUUUCAAUUGCAGGAUGAGAUAUAACAUGUUUUAUUCAGCAACUCCUGCGAGACCGGGAAUAGGAAUCCCUCCAGAACAGUCCCUGGAAACUGCAAAAGCAGUGAAGGAAUGCUAUAGUUAUGUUUGCCAGAUUUAGUAAAAGAGUUUAACAAGUAUGACACAGAUGGGUCAAAGUGGAUUAAACAGUACACUGGAGUCAAUGCUCUCUCAAAGAAAGAAUUCUCCAUUGAUGUUGGUUAUGAGAGAGUCUUGGGACCUGAAAUCUUUUUUCAUCCAGAGUUUGCUAAUCCAGAUUUUAUACAGCCUAUCUCAGAAGUUGUACAUGAAGUCAUUCAGAAUUGCCCAAUUGAUGUCAGGCAUCCUCGCUACAAGAAUAUUGUCCUUUCUGGAGGUUCAACCAUGUUCAGGGACUUUGGAUGUUGCUUAUAGAGAGAUUUGAAAAGAACUGUUGAUGCUAGGCUGAAAUUAAGUGAGGAGCUGAGUGGCAGGUAGAUUGAAACCCAAGCUUAUUGAUGUGCACGUUAUCACCUACCACAACGGUAUGCAGUCUGGUUUGGAGGGUCGAUGCUGGCUUCCACGCCCGAGUUCUACCAAGUAUGCCACACUAAGAAGGAUUACAAAGAAACUGGGCCUAGCAUUUGUCGUCAUAAUCCAGUGUUUGGAUUCAUGUCAUAG
Molecule: RNA transcript, 1252 nt
Organism: Nannospalax galili (Upper Galilee mountains blind mole rat)
Lineage: Eukaryota; Metazoa; Chordata; Mammalia; Rodentia; Spalacidae
Gene name: actin-related protein 3 pseudogene
Exons: 1
Source: RefSeq, a predicted model, not a curated record